RNAcentral lists this ribosomal RNA (254 nucleotides) under uncultured bacterium. RNAcentral's name for it is "partial 16S ribosomal RNA". It matches the Rfam family "Bacterial small subunit ribosomal RNA", at positions 524 to 776 of the family's 1533-position model. The record is from RNAcentral.
UACGUAGGGUGCAAGCGUUAAUCGGAAUUACUGGGCGUAAAGCGUGCGCAGGCGGCUAUGCAAGACAGAUGUGAAAUCCCCGGGCUCAACCUGGGAACUGCAUUUGUGACUGCAUGGCUAGAGUGCGGCAGAGGGGGAUGGAAUUCCGCGUGUAGCAGUGAAAUGCGUAGAUAUGCGGAGGAACACCGAAUGGCGAAGGCAAUCCCCUGGGCCUGCACUGACGCCCAUGCACGAAAGCGUGGGGAGCAAACAGG